CUUAGUCAAAAUGGUGAAAAUCUGACUAAUACAGAAAGAAAAACAUAGGUAGCAGUUUGCUAGGGCAAUGUUAACAAAAUAGCACACAAUAAGUAACUUAAACAAGAGUAAAAAAUUCCCUCACAUUUCUAGAGGCUAGAAGACUGAGAUUAAGACAUUGGCAGGGUUGGUUCCUUUUGAGACCUGUAUUCUUGGCUUGUUGAUAGCUGUCUUCUCUCUGUGACUUCACAAUGACUUCUCUGUAUGUGACGGUGUUCCAGUCUCCUUUUCUUUUAAGAACACCAGUUAUAUUGGAUUGAGAUUCACUCUAAUGAGCUCAUUUUAACUUAAUAGUUCCUAUAAUCCCACCAACACAGUCACAUUCUGAGCACUGUAGGCACAGCAGUGGUGAGAACUUAGGCAGCAAAGGGAACAAGGAAAACAGAGUACUGAUUCCAACUACCUUGAAGUCAUCUUACAGAACAGCCACGUGCAGGUGCUCCAAGUGCCAGUCCCAGCUGAGCUCAAACUUCCAGCUGUUCCCACCAAGGUCCACACACAGAGAACUACUGCCCAUACAAAAGGAAGAAUUACGUGGUCAUAAAAGAUAUCUUAACAUUGAAGAACACAGAGUGUUUUUAGCAUGUCUGACAUCUUAUUACAUUUAAAAUAACUAAAAUACCAGCUCGCCUUCCUGUUAUAACAGAUGGAGGGAACCUGGCACCUCUUCCAUACUGUGUUUCCAGGAAAGAGACUCAACAAAAGAACUUGAGACUCCAUGGGUACUAAAGUUGCUGAAUCUGGCAAUCAAUUCCAGUGGAAGAGUAAGAUAUAAGCUUUCUUACAUGUGUCCCUUUGUGGGGCUUCCCACAACAUGUCUUGCAGUUGAGUAAUGUUAAAAAUAAUGAUGAACAGUGUAG
Molecule: non-coding RNA, 899 nt
Organism: Heterocephalus glaber (naked mole-rat)
Lineage: Eukaryota; Metazoa; Chordata; Mammalia; Rodentia; Bathyergidae
Source: RefSeq, a predicted model, not a curated record